This 84-nucleotide transfer RNA is filed under the name Oculatellaceae cyanobacterium Prado106. RNAcentral describes it as "tRNA-Leu". It matches the Rfam family "tRNA". From Rfam's summary of the family: Transfer RNA (tRNA) molecules are approximately 80 nucleotides in length. Their secondary structure includes four short double-helical elements and three loops (D, anti-codon, and T loops). Further hydrogen bonds mediate the characteristic L-shaped molecular structure. tRNAs have two regions of fundamental functional importance: the anti-codon, which is responsible for specific mRNA codon recognition, and the 3' end, to which the tRNAs corresponding amino acid is attached (by aminoacyl-tRNA synthetases). tRNAs cope with the degeneracy of the genetic code in two manners: having more than one tRNA (with a specific anti-codon) for a particular amino acid; and 'wobble' base-pairing, i.e. permitting non-standard base-pairing at the 3rd anti-codon position. Lineage: Bacteria; Bacillati; Cyanobacteriota; Cyanophyceae; Oculatellales; Oculatellaceae. The record is from RNAcentral.
GGGCGGAUGGCGAAAUUGGUAGACGCACCACACUCAAAAUGUGGCGGCCUUGCGGUCAUGCGAGUUCGACUCUCGCUCUGCCCA